Molossus molossus (Pallas's mastiff bat) is the source of this 425-nucleotide long non-coding RNA. RefSeq lists it as uncharacterized. NCBI's taxonomy places the organism in Eukaryota, Metazoa, Chordata, Mammalia, Chiroptera, Molossidae. The transcript is spliced from 3 exons. The record is from RefSeq and is a predicted model, not a curated record.
ACUGGGGAAAAACAAGAAACAAAAUGCGUACUUUAGCGGGUGAGGUGGGGAAAGCCUUGUUUCCACAAUGAGUAAGACAGUCGAUCUCCAGCUCUCGUUCUGACCCAUCGCACCUGAGGUCUAGUCCACAUCCCACAGGGAGCCUCGGCCCUGCCGGUAACUCUCCGGACAGGCUGGCUGGCUGCUGCCGCUUUUGUGAAACCUGUGGUUACUUGUCUGUUUUCCUAUCAACUUUGGACAACACAUACCCAGCCCACAAGGUCAAUACUUCUGAGACUAAGAAAUCCCGGGUUACAGCAAUGCAAUAACAACUCGAGCUGGAUCAUCUCUACAUUGCAGCUUGCUGACAAUCAAGUCCAUUUGUACCAGGAGUGAUUUUCCUUUUUAUGAAAUAGACAAAGUAUAAAAUCAGGCACAAAGUCUUC